Molecule: non-coding RNA, 546 nt
Organism: Chelonoidis abingdonii (Abingdon island giant tortoise)
Lineage: Eukaryota; Metazoa; Chordata; Testudines; Testudinidae
Source: RefSeq, a predicted model, not a curated record
UAGUAUUUUAAUGUUUGUUAAAUUUAUUUUAAACACUUAAGAUCAAUUGUACAGGAGCUGCCUGGCUCUACUGCAGAUGUGACCAGAGCCACCUGUCUCCUUGGUCACUGACACAUCCAUCCAUGUUCAAACAAACAGACACAUUCCUGCUUCAUCAUGGUAGAUAUCAGCUGUGGACAGUACAAGGUGAGUCCUCCUGCACCCCAGAGCAGGGGGGAAGGCAGAGGAGCGUGCUCAUAGGUCCAGCCACCUUGUGGCUAGUCAGAGGUGUAACACAAAGGAGGCAUACUCCCUGUUUUGUAGCCCUUCAUGGGCUACUGAAUGCUCAAUUUCCUGUUGUUGUGAGAAGGGAGGGCUCCCACUUCAUGCCCUCUCCACCUGUCACAGUGAGAUCAACCCAGCGGGGUUACAAAUACAGGGUUAGAAAACAGAUGGAAAAAAAACAGAGAUGAUAAAUUCUAGAACAAUUAUUCCCAUCUUCCCUCUCACGUAACAGCAUGGCCUCCAGUGCACUCCCUGCUAGGGCAGAUGUGACACAGGUGGGAU